Long non-coding RNA from Gallus gallus (chicken), 1885 nucleotides. RefSeq lists it as uncharacterized. NCBI's taxonomy places the organism in Eukaryota, Metazoa, Chordata, Aves, Galliformes, Phasianidae. The transcript has 3 exons. The record is from RefSeq and is a predicted model, not a curated record.
CUUGCCACCCCGGCUACGCCUGCAGACUGCCUCCUUCAGUGCCACACUUUGGUAUGCCAGCAGCUGUUCCCAUUUGUCUCUGACUGGGAGACAAACAGAUAAAAUGUGAACUCCAAAUGUGACAUCUAUUAAGGCUCUACAGUUAAAUUUUAAGAAAAAAAUUAAGGAAGUUCCUCUGUAGAUUCAGGUUAUAGUGUUAUAAAGAGAAAUGCCCACUCUCUCCCAAAGGCCCAAAGCCCUUAUCAGAUAUGUCCUUAUAAAUGCAACCAAGAAUUCACUUGAUAUCUCUUUGUAUUCAAUCUGGAACAUGUUCACCACUACCAUUGCUCCCUCCCUCCCCAGCACCAUGAUGGAUUAGUAUGAAGCACUGACAGUGGAGUCUUGGCUCCCAUUCCCACUGUAGGUGCAGAAAGCCCCAGGAUUAAUAAUUUCGUGAUGAGAGAAAGGACAAAAACUACCUUGCUUUUUUUUUUUUUUUUUUAAACUGUCCUUGUGCCUAAGUAAUAAAAUAAAUUCCUUGUAACUUAAAACAUCUGAGGAGGAGAAGGGAAAAAAUAAAGAAGAAAAAAUUAAAGGUUUGAGUGGUAUGAACCGUCAAUCCUCCUAACCAGAAAUUGGGCCACAAUAACUGGGCAGAGCAAUGGGAUUCUGCAUGACUGCUCCAUUUUUCACAUUGUUAUUAAAAAUAAUUUUCCCAGAUUUUUUAGCAGUAGACGUUUUUGAGAUUUGCCUGCUUUUUGUCCUCAGAUCUUUCUUUGAGUUUUGCCACAGACCCUAUUCCACAGCAGGUUCCUUGCCUCCUUUCCCCUUUACAUUUGGAGCGCUUUGGCCCUUCACCCAUUUAAAGGGGAAGGUCUCUUGCUGCUCCCAUAGGCACUGCUUGCUCCCUGAAUAUUUAAAUAGCCCUGCUCCUUUGUGAGCUAUGAGACACCUACAUCAAGGACGAAAGGAUCUAAGCAACGAUCACAAUAUUUAGAUCUAAAAAGUUGUUGAUGGCCAAGUUCACCCUCAACUUAGUUUCUGUGAAUUUGAAAGACUCGCAUGUGGGAUACAUUUGGUCCUCUGUGUUAAAACUGGUGGGCUGACACAUAAUAAGCAGAGACAUUUGAGGGAGUUCAGCAUCUUUCAGGGUAAGGAUUUUUAGAUCUGUACCUUUGUUCCCCAAAGAGGUAAAUGAAUAAUGAAAUCUCCCUGCAGUGUGAACAGCUGAACUUAAUAUAGAGGAAAUUUCUCAAAGAAGUGCCCUGGUGCCUAGCAAAUGUGCCUGUCAAAAAGGGUUGCUCCUUUCUGGGUAUUUGUUUUAGCAAGUCCCAGCCUACAGGAUUACACAGAGUGGCUGAGGAUAGAUUUCUGCUUUAAGCAGGUUUUCAUUUUGUAGCUUUGAAAAUUACACUUUUCAUUAGCAUAAAUGUGACAGCAGAUUAAAGAAUGAAAUUCUAUUUAACAAAAAGAACUUCAAGCUAAUAAUUCUUCAGAUAACCAAGAUACGAAGUUCCGAAGAUCAGCACAAUUUCUUCUAACAGGGUCUCCAUGCAAAGAACAGAAGUCACACUGUGCCUGCCAAAGUCCAGAAGCUUUCCUGCACUGUCAGGCACAUACCAUGUCAAGCAUCCAAGCAGUUGGAGUUGAAAGAAGAAAGAGGGGAGAAGGAACGAAUGACAAGCAGAAUAUAAUUUCAUUAAAGCACACCACUGUGAGAAUUCUCAGCACUGUGAGAGUACAAGGCAGGCUAAUGGGUGAAAUUCAGCCCCACUGCAUAGGGUCAGUCUGGAGGAAGAUCUGCCAUCGACUUCAGCUAGCUGACCCUGACCCCUCCAUCAAUCCAAAGCAGGCUUCAUCUUGAAGUGCCAUCAUUCUUGGCUUUCUUCUGUCAGGAUAGUUCAUA